CAGCAGCCGCGGUAAAACGAAGGGGGCUAGCGUUGUUCGGAAUUACUGGGCGUAAAGGGCGCGUAGGCGGCCAUUCAAGUUAGAUGUGAAAGCCCUGAGCUUAACUUAGGAAUUGCAUUCGAUACUGGGAAGCUAGAGUAUGGGAGAGGAUGGUAGAAUUCCAGGUGUAGCGGUGAAAUGCGUAGAGAUCUGGAGGAAUACCGAUGGCGAAGGCAGCCAUCUGGCCUAAUACUGACGCUGAGGUACGAAAGCAUGGGGAGCAAACAGGAUUAGAUACCCCAGUAGUCCCUGUCUUUUAUAC
This 301-nucleotide ribosomal RNA is filed under the name uncultured bacterium. Its description in RNAcentral is "partial 16S ribosomal RNA". It matches the Rfam family "Bacterial small subunit ribosomal RNA", at positions 509 to 809 of the family's 1533-position model. The record is from RNAcentral.